GACCAGGAAAAAAAAGAAGAGAAUACAGAACUGCAUUGAUUUUUCACUUGGCAGACCUGGAGCAAUUUAUAAUCCCCAACAAGGAGCUUGUGUGACUUCCUCCAAAAAUGACCACAUGACACAAAGUACUUCUCAGCAGACAUAAGAAAACUGAAAUUAUACCCAGCAUCCCAUAUGAUCACUAUGGCUUAAAUCUGGAUUUUGGCAACAAUAGAAACAACAGAAUGUAUGCAAAUUCAUGGAAGCUGAGAAACUCACUAGUGAAUUAAAAUUGGUUCAAGAUAAAAAUCAAGAAGGAUAUUAAAAACUUGUUAUAGUUAAAUAAAAGUGAAAAUACUAAAUAUCCAAGGCUAUAGGAAACAAUAAAGGUAUUUUUAAGCAGCAAGUUUAUAACACAAAGUGCCUACAUAAAAAUAGUAGAGAAAUGUCAUAUUAAUAACUUUGUGGCACAGUAGAAAGUUCUUGAAGAACCAAGAAGAAAUUAUACCCAACAUGAGUUGACAGAAGAAACAAUCAGGUUUGGAGUGGAAAUCAAUGAACUAGAAACAGUGCAAUUAGAAAGAAUCAAUGAUAUGGAGAACUGUUUCUGUGAGAAAAAUCUACAAAAUGGGCAAAACAUUAGCCAAUUUAAAGAAGAAAAUUUAAAGACAAAUUUAUUUUGGUGUAGUUAUGUUCAGGCAUGACAUCAGUGAUAUUAUAUAGUGACAAAUUGUAAGUUCAUCAAGAAACUGCAUGUGUGAAUAGUGUAUAGACUUUUAGCUAAAUAAAUAAGUUGCUCAUGUUCUGCAGCUAGAGUUACUGUGAAAGACUAUACUUAUUAGUACAUCACACAGAUUAGAUUAGUCUAGCUGAAUUUAUCUCAGUAGCUCAAUUCAGUUUAAUUGCGAGAAAAUAAACAUUAAAGAUAUUUAGAACUGUAUAAAUCCAAGAUGGAACUAAAUGAGUGAUAGGAAGGAGCAUAAAUUCAACCAGUGUUACUACUGAUUUUCAAGUUAUUAAUUUUAAACUCAUGAUUUGCUCCAAUUGCCCAUUAAUUUAUCUUCAAAUUCCAUCUCUUCAACCUCCCAAGUAUCCAAGACAAAACCAAAUCUUACUUAAAAUUAUCUUAAGGAGAAAUAUGUGAUAAAAAUGAGGAUAAGAUGUUUCAGCUUUUCCUGUUUAAUAUAGUCAACAGCUAAUAAGAAACUCUAAAGUCAACGUGCUGAUAAUGUCACAGCCACUGUAAAUUACAUAAUGACUAUAGGGCUUGUGUCGAAAGCAAUAUAACAAAAUGCAUGUGUGCGCAUGUCUCUUUAUAGUGCCAGAAUGGAUAUUGAGAGUGUAUUCUAUGACAUCGUGGCUACGUUAUUAAAACUAGAUAAAGAUUUUAUUGCCUGUAACAAUCUCUUUCAAAAAAAGUAUUUAAACUUUCUGAGUCUCAGAUUUUCCCUGCAUUGCUUAGAUUUAUGACAUCCUAAUGCCAUACAUGAUUUGAAAAUCUCAGGAGGCAUAGCUUUAGUAACUAACCAGGAAGAUUCAUUGAAUAACUGUGAUGUGAGAUUUUUUUAUGUUUUCAUUUAAUUGUCUAUUGAUGUAGAGUGUUUUAAAUAAUGGAGAAAAUUAUGUUUUUUUUUCCUAUUAAAUUUCUCAGUGUUUCUCUUUGUAGGAUCCUAGUUCUGAAACACAUUUAGAUACAUUUCUUGUCAAGUUGUUUGUUUUAAUAAAGAAUAAU
Molecule: non-coding RNA, 1711 nt
Organism: Peromyscus maniculatus bairdii (prairie deer mouse)
Lineage: Eukaryota; Metazoa; Chordata; Mammalia; Rodentia; Cricetidae
Source: RefSeq, a predicted model, not a curated record